RNAcentral lists this transfer RNA (18 nucleotides) under Musca domestica (house fly). RNAcentral describes it as "partial tRNA-Ile". Lineage: Eukaryota; Metazoa; Arthropoda; Insecta; Diptera; Muscidae. The record is from RNAcentral.
AAUUGCCUGAUAAAAGGG